Molecule: ribosomal RNA, 421 nt
Filed under: uncultured bacterium
Lineage: Bacteria
Description: bacterial SSU rRNA
Rfam family: Bacterial small subunit ribosomal RNA
Source: RNAcentral
AAUUGAGACCGGCGCACGGGUGCGUAACGCGUAUACAAUCUACCUUUACAGAGGAUAGCCCAGAGUAAUUUGGAUUAACUACCUCAUAGUAUUUUUGAAUCGCAUGAUUUGAUUAUUAAAGUUCCAACGGUAAAAGAUGAGUAUGCGUCCCAUUAGCUAGUUGGUAAGGUAACGGCUUACCAAGGCUACGAUGGGUAGGGGUCCUGAGAGGGAGAUCCCCCACACUGGUACUGAGACACGGACCAGACUCCUACGGGAGGCAGCAGUGAGGAAUAUUGGACAAUGGGCGCAAGCCUGAUCCAGCCAUGCCGCGUGCAGGAUGACGGUCCUAUGGAUUGUAAACUGCUUUUAUACAGGAAGAAACACUCCGACGUGUCGGAGCUUGACGGUACUGUAAGAAUAAGGAUCGGCUAACUCCGUG